Molecule: long non-coding RNA, 1624 nt
Organism: Brassica rapa (field mustard)
Lineage: Eukaryota; Viridiplantae; Streptophyta; Magnoliopsida; Brassicales; Brassicaceae
Source: RefSeq, a predicted model, not a curated record
AAAGUUAUAAUACAUAAAAAGAUUCAAAUAAAAACAAAUAAUAAUUUAUUAUUAUAGUUUUUAAUUAGUAAUACAUGUAUUAAUAGGAAUUAUAAAAUGUUUAUGUCUGCAUGUGCAGGCGAAACACCUUAUAUCAUGUUAAUAGCAUAUAUUUUUGGUAUUAUUGAAUAUAUAUUUUGUAUAAAGUUACGAAUAUGAAUUUAUGUGAAUUAUAGAAAGGUUACAUAGUUUGAGUUUGAGGUGUAACAUUAUGAUAUUUCGAUUAUAUAAAGAAAUAAAAAGAAAUGUUACUUGGAAACUAAUCUUGUUGUAAUUAGAACGGACCCAAUGGUUUUAUUGGUGCUUUGCUUGAAAGAAAUGGGGACAAGGGGGAACGAACGUGUAUAUACGUAAUUAUGGUAUUAUAUCAUGACAAACUCUCACGGUCCAUAAUUUCAGGUUUAUCAUCCUUUAUAAAUUACUUUGUUGAUUAUUCGUUAAAGUAAAAGUUCUUCUCUUUUAGUUUUUUUUUUAGUGAAAGCUAAGUUAGUGAAAGUGUGCUCAAGCUUUUAUUUUCUUUAAUUACAAUUGCUCAGGUGCGUGUUGUGUUUUCAAACACCCAUUGUGAUGGGAAAAAGAAUAAAAGCGAACCACUUUUUUUUUAUUUUAAUUCGCAUUUUUAGCAUCUAGCUUAUAUGCAACGCCAAAUAUAGCUCGAUACCUUUCGUUUUGUAUUUUUUUAUUAAUAUUCUGUAGACUUUCAUUUAUUUUUAUUGUUAAAGUCUAAUGUGAUUGGGGAAUGUGGGUGAAAAGAAAAAGAGAAAAUGGAAAAAGAGAAAGAAAAGGAGUCAUAAGUGAUGAUUAAAGAAAUGCACGGGAAGGAAGGAAUUUCAAGUGCUUAAUUACCCGCACGACUUCUCUCGCAUUCCUCCUUUUCUUUUGUUAGUUCACAUAUCUUUGUCUGAAAAAGUUUGUAGCUUUGGUCUUUUUCGUCUCUCCUUUGAUUUGAUAUUAAGAACAGUAAUUACUGUGUUUAGCAAGUGUUGAAUUCAACAUUUAAUCAUGGUUUCAUAUUAUUGUUACCCAAAUCAAAAUCUUAUUUGGUUUGAAAUUUUAUUUAUUUUCUGAAUACAAUUAUUACUAGUGUCAUUUUUAUUCAAAAUAAAAACAACUUGAGCGAGAAACAUUGAUUUGAACCCGCAUGAAACUUCCAUGUAUUUUUUCUUUAUUAGAUCAAUACAUCCAGAUUAAUCAUUAUGAUCCUUACACAAUUAGAACUGGAUAUUAUUGCGUUUUAAAUAUAUUCGGUUGGCCUGACUAACAUAUCCUGAAGAUGUAUAAUAUCUACUGGUUCAAAAUGUAAACAUGCCGUCUUAGCUCAGUCGUAGAGCUGCGUGACUUUCAUUUUGUGAAAACCUCUUACGUUUUUCUACGCAAAAAGAGAAAUAAAACGGCACAAAAUUAUUAUAUCACAAUAACUGCAACAAAACAUACAACAUUCGGACAGAAACAAGAGCAACGGGGUCUUUUAUUUAGAUAAAACGUCAUCCACCGAGUUUAGAGAAGUACCGACAAAUGACAUCACAAAGUUUUGUUUCAACAAAGAUUCCAGAAACGAUAAAGGGUUACAACCACUUAAUAAUUU